UGGGAUAAGCCUGGGAAACUGGGUCUAAUACCGGAUAUGACUUUUGCAGGCAUCUGUGGAAGUGGAAAGCUCCGGCGGUACAGGAUGAGCCCGCGGCCUAUCAGCUUGUUGGUGGGGUAAUGGCCUACCAAGGCGACGACGGGUAGCCGGCCUGAGAGGGUGACCGGCCACACUGGGACUGAGACACGGCCCAGACUCCUACGGGAGGCAGCAGUGGGGAAUAUUGCACAAUGGGCGCAAGCCUGAUGCAGCGACGCCGCGUGAGGGAUGACGGCCUUCGGGUUGUAAACCUCUUUCGCCAGGGACGAAGCGCAAGUGACGGUACCUGGAUAAGAAGCACCGGCUAACUACGUGCCAGCAGCCGCGGUAAUACGUAGGGUGCGAGCGUUGUCCGGAAUUAUUGGGCGUAAAGAGCUCGUAGGCGGUUUGUCGCGUCGUUCGUGAAAACUCCACGCUUAACGUGGAGCGUGCGGGCGAUACGGGCAGACUUGAGUUCGGUAGGGGAGACUGGAAUUCCUGGUGUAGCGGUGAAAUGCGCAGAUAUCAGGAGGAACACCGGUGGCGAAGGCGGGUCUCUGGGCCGAUACUGACGCUGAGGAGCGAAAGCGUGGGGAGCGAACAGGAUUAGAUACCCUGGUAGUCCACGCUGUAAACGUUGGGCGCUAGGUGUGGGCGACAUCCACGUUGUCCGUGCCGUAGCUAACGCAUUAAGCGCCCCGCC
RNAcentral lists this ribosomal RNA (721 nucleotides) under Actinomycetes bacterium. RNAcentral's name for it is "bacterial SSU rRNA". It matches the Rfam family "Bacterial small subunit ribosomal RNA", at positions 139 to 873 of the family's 1533-position model. The record is from RNAcentral. Lineage: Bacteria; Bacillati; Actinomycetota; Actinomycetes.